Molecule: long non-coding RNA, 1240 nt
Filed under: Rattus norvegicus (Norway rat)
Lineage: Eukaryota; Metazoa; Chordata; Mammalia; Rodentia; Muridae
Description: long non-coding RNA NONRATT032874
Source: RNAcentral
GGGUAGAACAUUUAACAGUUAACAUUAAAUAAUGUAGAGGAGGCCGCAACAGCAGCACUGAUAUAACGAGAUAACCAUCUAACUAGAAAGCAGCCAAUGGGUGACUGUCUAAAUAUUUAAAACACAGCUCUUGCUUAAUCAUCCUUUCAUGUGAUCACCUUUUGCUGGUUGCAUGGAAAUAUAUUAAGGCCAAAUCUUCUGAUAUCCAUUCCCAGAGGUUUCUUUUAACUGGAUUAAACCUCCAAUUCCAAGUCAAGCCCAAGUUUGUGGCCUCCAGCAUUAAAGCUCUUCCCAUAUACCAGAGCAGACGGUGUAAGCUUCACACCAGGCCUCAGAGUCUGAGCAUAGCCCACUCCAAUUAAACUAGAGUUGUUGACCUUUGCAGAAAUAGAAGCAGUGGGGUCCAACUGGUAUUUAGCUAUAAUGUCAAAACGAGUGCAGUUGGUACCUGAUGUCCAAGCAAGGUUUACUGAAGUGUCAAAAUCUUCACAUACUUUCUGAUAAAUUGAUCCUCCAAAUUCUGUCCCAUUAUUUACAUUUGUGUGUAGCUGGAAGUCUCCAGUCCUGUAGCAGACUGCGAAGUUGUUCCUUGUCAGCUUUGACUUGGCACUGUCAAAGGUCAUUUGGUACCCAGCAAGCCAGCCCUUGUAACCAAAGACCCAUGAAUGGCAUGUCCAGCAAAAUCGAAAUCAAAAUCAACAUCAUAGCCAAGGUUUAUACAUUCUCUUUUGUAAGCAGACUUGAUUUUACCACUUUUCUUUCCUGUGUUCGGUGAAAACAUGGUGUCAAAGGUCAGUUUCAAACCUUGACAAAUCUGGUUUUCAAUUGCAAUCUCUGUCCCCAGAGUGUUGUUGGUGUUCCAUUUCUCUGUGAAAGUCAGAGCAUACCCACACCAUUUGUACUUGGUCUCCAAGGUCCCACUGACUUUACCAGUGUCUGUAUUAGAUGAGCCAGAUAUUGAAAAUUCCCCACCACUGCAUGACAUCGUUUUCACAUCCAGCUUUACCAACCCCAAACCAAAUCCUUUGUUGAAAAUAUCCCUGGCAGCUUUGCCAAGGUCAGCGUAGGGUGGAGGGAUACACAUUGGCCGUGGGCAUACCAGUACACAACACUCAGCCAUGGCGAAGUCUCGGGGAAAAGGUGAUCUGCUGGUGUCCUGAAGGGCGCUGCUGCCACCGCUCGGCUCGCAGCUGAGGCCACUCCGCUAUCUGGAAGUUGUGCUGCUGCCACCACGGCUGGA